This 85-nucleotide transfer RNA is filed under the name Felis catus (domestic cat). It matches the Rfam family "tRNA". From Rfam's summary of the family: Transfer RNA (tRNA) molecules are approximately 80 nucleotides in length. Their secondary structure includes four short double-helical elements and three loops (D, anti-codon, and T loops). Further hydrogen bonds mediate the characteristic L-shaped molecular structure. tRNAs have two regions of fundamental functional importance: the anti-codon, which is responsible for specific mRNA codon recognition, and the 3' end, to which the tRNAs corresponding amino acid is attached (by aminoacyl-tRNA synthetases). tRNAs cope with the degeneracy of the genetic code in two manners: having more than one tRNA (with a specific anti-codon) for a particular amino acid; and 'wobble' base-pairing, i.e. permitting non-standard base-pairing at the 3rd anti-codon position. Lineage: Eukaryota; Metazoa; Chordata; Mammalia; Carnivora; Felidae. The record is from Rfam by way of RNAcentral.
GCAUGGGUGGCUCAGUCGAUUGAGCGUCUGACUUUGGCUCAGGUCUUAAUCUCACAGUUCGUGGGUUCGAGCCCUACGUCAGGCU